UAGAGGAGCCCAUGGCACUAUGCCCCACCAGCUUGGUCCCACGUUGCCAUCCAGGCCAAUGAAGGAUCACCCAGCAGUGCAGGAAGAAAGUUAAUGACCUUCUGUGAACCUGAAAUUCACCAAUGGCAUCUAUAUACAGUAGUCAUCUCCAUGAAGAGAUCAGCCUCCCACGUCAUCAUCUUGUUCUCCAUCGCUGAGCAAUAGCUACAGACCCCUCAGAGGAAGCACAAGCAAGGCUGACUCUUGCAUCUUCCACAGUUCACCCUGAUUCCUCAGUUGAAUCCUAAAUAGCUGGAUGCAGCCAGGAGCUGAUUCUGGUGCGCAUACUACUGGCAUGUCUCUGCAGCUGACAGAGGAAGAAACAUCACAGAACCCUGGCAUUCAGAGGUCUGCCAGAGACCAGGCACCUGCUCAGCCUCUGGCAGGAGACUGCACGCGCUGUUUGCCAUUGGCAACUUUAUUCAAAGGCAAUAGCAGACAUACGAACAGCAGGCACGUUUGUCAGAAGCACUUCAAGAUUGGGGAGUCAGCCAACACUAUCUGUAACAUGAUGUGUCUGGCAUGUGAGUGUCUGGCUGUGUCCAUGAACAAUUUAGUAGCUGCCAUGGAAACCCAGGUUUGGCACAGUCAAUAUCUGGCACCCUGAUCUGCAUCUCCACUCACGGGCCCCCACAUUAUUCUCCAUUUAGGACAUUCCAGAGGUGACUGCGCCCUCUAUGUCCAUGCUGCCUGCAAUCGCUGACCCUCUGCAAGUUAAGGCUGAGGAAGGUAAACUUGUAUCUGGGCAGGACAUUCUCAGGAGGUUCUUUGGGGUUGCCCCACCAAAUUCUCAAGACCAAAAGGUUCCAGGAUAGGACAGGCUUGCUCUACCCCAGCUGCGGAUACCUUGGCUGCACCUAUGUGUGAUUAGAGAGAAAGAUGACAUAAUAACAGUUGCAGCUGUUGCUGUUGGCUCCUGAUCCAUGAGCCAUACAAGAAACAUAGCCCUACUAUCUGGAAUUCUUUCAAACAACAGGUACUUUGCAUGUUUAUGGAAUAACAUAGAUAUUUCAGAAAUAAGGGUGAAAUCAAAAUAAUGUAAAGAACAUCAGCUGUAAUAGGAAUAUUUGAAGCACAACUAUAGUCUUGCAAUUUGCACUAUUUGUUGUAAAACAUUCAACAAUUUUUAGCUGCAUUUUGUGUAUUUGUGACAUGUAACAGUACUGUUUUAUAGUCAAAAAUACUGCUCCUUACUAAAUUAGACAGAAUUACUGUAAGAUACAAUCAACCGCAUAUUGCCUAAAGAAUACUGCAGUUAAAAAGAUUGCUGUCCACAAGAUAUAUUUAUCUUCUACACGAUAUAUUGGAAGUCUUGCGCAAUAGACUGGCAAAAAAUUCUCCACACAUAAAUAAUGCCUAAUGCCAUAUAGAUCAUUCUCAGUUAAAAAGCCAUUUAAUCAAUUAUAAAUAUGUAUAAUAUGUCAAAAAUGAGCUUGAUAUCAUCCUUUGAAGUCCUAUAAAUAAUUUGAAAUUCAUAUUACAUUUUCUUUUUGCUUUAUGUGGCAUGACAAUAGAGAAUAACUGAUUUGGUAAAAUUAUAAUAAAUCCUUAUCACACUAUUUCCUUUUUACCCUAAAACUUGAAAUACAACAGUUACUACAUUUAGAAAAUCAACAUCUUAAAUGUUAGCAGUUUAUCUAGUUGGGAAGAAGUACAUUGUAAUUUGUAUAAUAACCAAAGGCAAUUGUUGUGGAAUUUAUAAAGCAUUUUACAUGUAAGUAAAUAUUUUCACCUAUUAAUAUUCUCUAAUAAUACCAGACAGUUUGGCAUUCUGCUAAUUAUUUACACUAUCUAUCUGUUUUUGCAUAAGGCAUACAUUAUUGUUAGGGGGAAGCAUAUCAUACUGAAUUUUGAUGUAUUCCUCAUGAUAUGAAGUUUUGCAGUAAUUCCCCAAAUCAUCCACCAUAAUGUCAAGUGGAUGAGACUUGGAAAAUCAGAAGAAAACCCAAGAGUAUACAUUAAUACUUAGGACUACUUUCCUAAAAAGUAGAAUGCCUUUUCCCCUAAAGUGAAAGUUUCUUCUGAACUUCUGAAUGCUUCAGUUAUAUAUGUAGGAUUUUUCAGCCCAUUGAGGUUUUAAUGGCUUUCAUGUGCUUUGUGAUAAUUAAUGGAUCUGUAGCUUACUGUAUGCUGCCAAAUUUCUGUAAUCUGUGAAAAAUAUAUUCUUGAGAAUGUUGGCUUUUUUGGACAUAAGCUGCAUGUCUGAUGUUAUCAAAUUGUAAUUCAUGAAUUUGACUAUAUUUUAAGGCAAAGAUUUUGGGUGAAUUUUUACUAGUGCAAUUUGUAUGCAAGGACACAUUUAUUCUUGACUGCAUAAGCAUCACCUACAUUUUAGCCCAUUAACACAUAAUAUUUAUUUCUAAUCCUACAGAUGGUUAAUGUGUAUAUAAAUCAGCACAUGCAAAGGGAGAUUAGUUUCUCACCAUUUCUCUCCCAUCCCCUGCUCCUUCCCACAUACAUACACACAGCAUAUAUAAAUAUUAGAUUAUGAAGCUCUAUUUGAUUUAUGUCAUUAGACUAACUCAAUACACAUGACCAAUAUAACUGGAACAUAAAUUAUACCCCACGAGCUUUCAUAAAUAAGUUUUAACAUAUUGUACAGGUAUUAGAGAUGGGUUUCAUUGAACAUCUGACCGAGUACUAUAAGAAAUUAGUUUAUAAAAAACAUAGUAUUUUAAAAGUUCAGUUUCAAAUAUGCCUAAGAUAGGACAGAGUCUUAGUUAAGCAAGUAUUUGGAAUUAUUGAUAAAUCACAAAAACGUACUUUUAACUCUAACUCAAAUGAAGAUGUGACCUUGUAUGCAACCACUAGCUGUAUGUAUAUUUCUAGAUCAUCAUGUUGUUAUGUUCCUAAAGAUUUACAUGUCAGUUGAAUUUACUGAUGCUAUGUUUAAUUGUUUAUUAAGACCAAAACAAUCUCAAUUUAAUUUCUUAAAAUUGAAAUGUAAUUGUUACAUCUUAUCAGGAGUUAGUUGGUACAGUGCACAUAAAAACAGCUUUCUCACUAUUUUUAAUUUAAUUGAGUGCUGAUGGCAGAAAUAAGUUUGACAAUAUGUCGAGACAAAAAAAAACUGCAGAUGCUGGAAUCCAGUGUUCAGCAGGAAAACAUGCAGUGGGUCAGCCCAUACCUGAAAGAGUGAUUGAUCUACUGUCAAAGAUUUCUGAUAAAAUGUCAACUUAUUUAAAGAUUCUUAUCUGGUUGGCCUGGAAUUAAUUUUUGAUAUAACAUAUUUCUGCUAGAAAAUCAUAUUCAGGAUAGAGUCAGUUAAUUCCCAUAUUAACAAAACACUUGAGAAGUCACUGAUCAAAUUAAGGAAGUUUGAUCAGCUUGAUCAGCUUCCCUUCAGGGAAACAGAUUAGUCACAUUAACUACUUUAUCGGGCUAAAUCUUUUUUUGGCUGCUAUUUUUGUUGAGUUUUGUGGAGGGUUUAUCUCUGUGAGGCCUUAUGGGUUUUCUCACUGCAUCUCACCAAACGCGUCUCAUUAAUGACCUGCCCUCCUCUUUGGUGCCUCUCUCGUUCAGUUCUAGCCCCACUCUAUCA
Molecule: non-coding RNA, 3580 nt
Organism: Chiloscyllium plagiosum (whitespotted bambooshark)
Lineage: Eukaryota; Metazoa; Chordata; Chondrichthyes; Orectolobiformes; Hemiscylliidae
Source: RefSeq, a predicted model, not a curated record